AAGCGGUGGAUCAUGUGGUUCAAUUCGACGCUACGCGAAGUAACCUUACCUGGGCUCGAACGACUAGUGGUACCCUUUAUGAAAGUAGAGGGGACCCGCAAGGGAGCUAGCCGAGGUGCUGCAUGGUUGUCGUCAGCUCGUGUCGUGAGAUGUUGGGUUAAGUCCCGCAACGAGCGCAACCCCUGUCCUGUGUUGCUACUCCGCAAGGAGAGGACUCUCAGGAGACUGCCGUGGAUAACACGGAGGAAGGUGGGAUGACGUCAAAUCAUCAUGGCCUUUAUGUCCAGGGCUACACACGUGAUACAAUGGUACAGACAGAGGGCUGCAAGACCGUAAGGUGGAGCCAAUCCCUAAACUGUAUCCCAGUUCAGAUCGAGGGCUGCAAUUCGCCCUCGUGAAGUUGGAAUCGCUAGUAAUCGCAGAUCAGCAGGCUGCGGUGAAUACGUUCCCGGGCCUU
This 457-nucleotide ribosomal RNA is filed under the name uncultured bacterium. RNAcentral's name for it is "bacterial SSU rRNA". It matches the Rfam family "Bacterial small subunit ribosomal RNA", at positions 927 to 1382 of the family's 1533-position model. The record is from RNAcentral.